GUCACCAGGCACCACAGUCUCACCAAGGGUGCCUAAAAGUUACUUGGCUGGAGAGAGUCAGCAUCAAAAUAUUGUGAUGAUUUCCCAGACAUCCAGGCCACAGACUCAGGAAGCCGCACAGGGAAAGCAAUUGGGAGGUCUGCCUGUGCCCCCCUGAUUGGAGCCACUGUGGAAAACUCAGAGUUUGAUCACAGCUUAAUCCUAAAACCCUCCAGAUGAGUCAUGGGUGAGACCCCAAUUCCACAUCUCCCCACUCUACCCUCACAGGUUGGAAAUCAGGCAGCCCAGAGCCUGGCAGAGGUCUGCACAAUGAGGACAGCACAGGCAGGCAAGCCACAUGCCCUGAUGGAGCCCCCCAGAGCAGACCUCCCUGGACAGCUGCCCCAUCAGUGGGCCCUCCUUCGUGGAUCCCAAAGGGGCCUGCAUUUUUUCCCCACAGGAGGGCAUGGUGGGAAGGAGCACCUCCAUUCCAAGCUGAAGUCCCAGCGGCAGAGCCUGUGCCAACUGCACCUGCAGGUGCUUCCUCAGCUCUGGCACCACAGCCAGAGCCAGAACCAGGAUUCCCUUGUCCUUUAACUGCACUUCUGGGGCUCCUGGUGGCUUCUCAGAGGUUGUCAGCUCCUGAGAUUCCCCUGGGGCCAGCUCCUGCCCCACACCUGCCAUUCCCCUCUAUUACUGCUGCUCAUGUUUUAUUCUUUACUUUUGUG
This 707-nucleotide long non-coding RNA is filed under the name Heterocephalus glaber (naked mole-rat). RNAcentral's name for it is "lncRNA (ENSHGLG00100032736.2)". Lineage: Eukaryota; Metazoa; Chordata; Mammalia; Rodentia; Bathyergidae. The record is from RNAcentral.